This 234-nucleotide unclassified non-coding RNA is filed under the name Hevea brasiliensis (rubber tree). Lineage: Eukaryota; Viridiplantae; Streptophyta; Magnoliopsida; Malpighiales; Euphorbiaceae. The record is from RNAcentral.
UGCUGGUGCAGCUGCUUUCUUCUUACCCCUUUGUCCAUUGAAAACUUUGGCCUUAUCAGGAUCUUUUUGUAGCCCAAUAAUUGGAUUACAUGACACUGAUGAAUUACUGGGACCACCAGCAGCCGCUUGUAAUUUCUCCAAGUUUUUCUUGUGUUUCUUUCCCAAUUUAUGUUGGUCAAGUACUUCAUUGCUGUUACAGUCCACUUUACAAAUUUCACAAUAUGCAGACUGAAC